AGGGGGAGCACUUUUAUCCUAUUUAAUACAUAUUCACACACAGACACAUCUACAAAGGAACUUCUUUGAAGUUUGGCCUCUUCUUAGCUCUAUAGCCUUGGGCAAGUUAAUUUAUUUCUCUUUCCCUUGGUUUUCUCAUCUAGUGAAGUUAUAAUAGUACCUGUUUCAGGGGUUGCUGUAAGAAGCGAGUUAACACAUGAAGCUCUUGAAGCCGUGUCUGCCGUCUAUUUCCUACUAGAUUGUCCUAUAUGCAUCAGGUCUCAUUAAUGUUAUUAUUGACAACAGUUAUGUUGUGCCUAGACUCCACAACUUAAGCCCUAAAUAUUGAGUGGUUCUACUAAGGCAUUGUCCCUUAAACUUGGGUUGAGUGCAAAGCUGCCUCUGGGGCAAAGUGGUUACUGUCCUUUUCCCUGUCUCCUAAGUUACCUUCUUUGUAAACAGCCCAAGUAAAAUGGGACUCCAGGGAGUGGCUGGCACACCACUGAACUGUUUGAACAUCAGAUCACAGGGAAACUCCACGAAGAGCCUAGAAGAAGGCAAACAGUUAUGUGACUGACGUCUCAGCCACGCAUUUGAUAGUAACUCAAGAUCUGAGCUGAGAGAAACCGGAGUCCUUGAAAGGCGGCUAACGGCGCCCCUCCCCACCGCCUCCCAGUCGCUCUACGUGGAUACAGAUAUGACUUGCUUUUGUUACAGUUGGAUCACAGAACCUCAGGCCUUGAAUGGAUCCUUGACUUUCUCAUAUUUGGACAAACAACAGCUUCAAAGUUGCCUACAAUGUACUAAACAAAGUUAGGAGAACUGCCCCAGAUAUGAUGAAAUUGUUUCCUUAAAAGGAUUGUCCACAAAGAUGUGGUAUCAUAGAAUAAAAUCCUAGGAGAAGUCUGUGAGGUCUCUGAAAUGAACUCAUCGCUCCGUGACGAAGACACAAAAAUGCAAAGAACAUUAUUUGGAAUGUGUAGGUUUCAUGACGUCUCCCAUAUAUGGUAAGAUGCAG
RNAcentral lists this long non-coding RNA (997 nucleotides) under Mustela putorius furo (domestic ferret). RNAcentral's name for it is "lncRNA (ENSMPUG00000028175.1)". The record is from RNAcentral. Lineage: Eukaryota; Metazoa; Chordata; Mammalia; Carnivora; Mustelidae.